This 95-nucleotide microRNA precursor is filed under the name Marmota monax (woodchuck). The record is from RNAcentral. Lineage: Eukaryota; Metazoa; Chordata; Mammalia; Rodentia; Sciuridae.
AUUGGAGUUACUGGGUCAUAAGGUAACUAAACUUUAGAGGAACUGUUAAACUAUUUCCAAAGCAGCUGCAAUAUUUUUGCAAUACCACUGGUAAU